RNAcentral lists this ribosomal RNA (501 nucleotides) under uncultured bacterium. RNAcentral describes it as "partial 16S ribosomal RNA". It matches the Rfam family "Bacterial small subunit ribosomal RNA", at positions 30 to 523 of the family's 1533-position model. The record is from RNAcentral.
AUUGAACGCUGGCGGCAGGCUUAACACAUGCAAGUCGAGCGGGGUGAGGUGCUUCGGUACUGAUCCUAGCGGCGGACGGGUGAGUAAUGCUUAGGAAUCUGCCAUUUAGUGGGGGACAACAUUCCGAAAGGGAUGCUAAUACCGCAUACGUCCUACGGGAGAAAGCAGGGGAUCUUCGGACCUUGCGCUAAAUGAUGAGCCUAAGUCGGAUUAGCUAGUUGGUGGGGUAAAGGCCUACCAAGGCGACGAUCUGUAGCGGGUCUGAGAGGAUGAUCCGCCACACUGGGACUGAGACACGGCCCAGACUCCUACGGGAGGCAGCAGUGGGGAAUAUUGGACAGUGGGCGGAAGCCUGAUCCAGCCAUGCCGCGUGUGUGAAGAAGGCCUUUUGGUUGUAAAGCACUUUAAGCGAGGAGGAGGCUACCUGGAUUAAUACUCUAGGAUAGUGGACGUUACUCGCAGAAUAAGCACCGGCUAACUCUGUGCCAGCCGCCGCGGUAA